Molecule: ribosomal RNA, 2008 nt
Filed under: Iodobacter fluviatilis
Lineage: Bacteria; Pseudomonadati; Pseudomonadota; Betaproteobacteria; Neisseriales; Chitinibacteraceae
Description: bacterial LSU rRNA
Rfam family: Bacterial large subunit ribosomal RNA
Source: RNAcentral
CAUCGCGACUUACCAAACCAUGGCAAACUCUGAAUACCGUCAAGUGCGAGCAUGGGAGACAGACUGUGGGUGCUAACGUCCAUGGUCAAGAGGGAAACAACCCAGAUCGCCGUCUAAGGUCCCAAAUAAUCAGUUAAGUGGAAAACGAGGUGGGAAGGCAUAGACAGCCAGGAUGUUGGCUUAGAAGCAGCCAUCAUUUAAAGAAAGCGUAAUAGCUCACUGGUCGAGUCGUCCUGCGCGGAAGAUGUAACGGGGCUCAAACUGAUAACCGAAGACGCGAAUAUGCACGAUGUGCAUAUGGUAGAGGAGCGUUCCGUAGGCCUGCGAAGGUGUCUUGAGAAGGAUGCUGGAGGUAUCGGAAGUGCGAAUGCUGACAUGAGUAGCGAUAAUGCGGGUGAAAAGCCCGCACACCGAAAACCCAAGGUUUCCUGCGCAACGUUCAUCGGCGCAGGGUGAGUCGGCCCCUAAGGCGAGGCAGAAAUGCGUAGUCGAUGGACAACGGGUUAAUAUUCCCGUACCGAUAUAAAGUGCGAUGGGGGGACGGAGAAAGGUAGGUCAGCCCACUGUUGGAAUAGUGGGUUUAAGCGAGUAGGCGUGUGGCUUAGGCAAAUCCGGGCUGCUUUAACGCUGAGACGUGACGACGAAGUCUUCGGACUGAAGUGAUUGAUCCUAUGCUUCCAAGAAAAGCCUCUAAGCUUCAGCUUUAUAUUGACCGUACCGCAAACCGACACAGGUGGGUAGGAAGAGAAUUCUAAGGUGCUUGAGAGAACUCAGGAGAAGGAACUCGGCAAAUUAUCACCGUAACUUCGGGAGAAGGUGAGCCCAUAUUAGGUGAAGGCCCUUGCGGCUGGAGCUGACAUGGGUCGCAGAGAAAUGGGGGCUGCGACUGUUUAUCAAAAACACAGCACUCUGCAAAGUCGAAAGACGACGUAUAGGGUGUGACGCCUGCCCGGUGCUGGAAGAUUAAAUGAUGGGGUGCAAGCUCUUGACUGAAGUCCCAGUAAACGGCGGCCGUAACUAUAACGGUCCUAAGGUAGCGAAAUUCCUUGUCGGGUAAGUUCCGACCCGCACGAAUGGCGUAACGAUGGCCCUACUGUCUCCUCCUGAGACUCAGCGAAGUUGAAAUGUUUGUGAAGAUGCAAUCUCCCCGCUGCUAGACGGAAAGACCCCGUGAACCUUUACUGUAGCUUUGCAUUGGACUUUGAAGUGGUUUGUGUAGGAUAGGUGGGAGACAUUGAAGCAUGGACGCUAGUCUGUGUGGAGUCGUCCUUGAAAUACCACCCUGACCCCUUUGAGGUUCUAACCUUGGUCCGUUAUCCGGAUCGGGGACCGUGCAUGGUAGGCAGUUUGACUGGGGCGGUCUCCUCCCAAAUUGUAACGGAGGAGCUCGAAGGUCGCCUAGGUACGGUCGGACAUCGUACUGAUAGUGUAAUGGCAUAAGGCGGCUUAACUGCGAGACAGACAAGUCGAGCAGGUGCGAAAGCAGGACAUAGUGAUCCGGUGGUUCUGAAUGGAAGGGCCAUCGCUCAACGGAUAAAAGGUACUCCGGGGAUAACAGGCUGAUUCCGCCCAAGAGUUCACAUCGACGGCGGAGUUUGGCACCUCGAUGUCGGCUCAUCACAUCCUGGGGCUGUAGCCGGUCCCAAGGGUAUGGCUGUUCGCCAUUUAAAGUGGUACGUGAGCUGGGUUCAAAACGUCGUGAGACAGUUUGGUCCCUAUCUGCAGUGGGCGUUGGAAAUUUGAGGGGGGCUGCUCCUAGUACGAGAGGACCGGAGUGGACAGAUCUCUGGUGUACCGGUUGUCACGCCAGUGGCAUCGCCGGGUAGCUAAAUCUGGAAGAGAUAAGCGCUGAAAGCAUCUAAGCGCGAAACUCGCCUCAAGAUGAGAUUUCCCCAAGGCUUUAAGCCUUUUAAAGGGUCGUUCGAGACCAGGACGUUGAUAGGUCGGGUGUGGAAGCGCAGUAAUGCGUUAAGCUAACCGAUACUAAUUGCCCGUAAGGCUUGAUCCU